RNAcentral lists this transfer RNA (57 nucleotides) under Capra hircus (goat). It matches the Rfam family "tRNA", at positions 8 to 63 of the family's 71-position model. From Rfam's summary of the family: Transfer RNA (tRNA) molecules are approximately 80 nucleotides in length. Their secondary structure includes four short double-helical elements and three loops (D, anti-codon, and T loops). The record is from Rfam by way of RNAcentral. RNAcentral also lists the same sequence under 1 other name. Lineage: Eukaryota; Metazoa; Chordata; Mammalia; Artiodactyla; Bovidae.
UAGCUCAGCUGGUAAAGCAUCUGCCUGCAAUGCAGGAGACCCCGGUUUGAUUCCUGG